Molecule: long non-coding RNA, 677 nt
Organism: Ornithodoros turicata
Lineage: Eukaryota; Metazoa; Arthropoda; Arachnida; Ixodida; Argasidae
Exons: 6
Source: RefSeq, a predicted model, not a curated record
UUAAUGGCUAGAAUGGUUGUUAGUUGGUAAAUGAUUAGGCUAUCCCAUAAGGUAUCACUUCUUCUUCCUCCGAAAGGCCUUCCCCAAAGAAGACGUCAAUUAAAACGGAACGGUUACAGUCGUCGAGAGGAGCGAGGAACGCUGGAACGUCACGACGGAAAAAGGACGGAACCCAGGAUCCACCGUCUGUCCCUGUAAUAGCUAAGGAUGAACCACGCGACGUUCGAGAAGGGAAAAGUUCGAAACACGGAGAAAAGAGGACGGAAAAACCUCGAGGAAGAGAACACGGCCACAGCGUACACAAGGAGAGCGGUUCAAAGCAUCGGGCAGAAACCACAGAAGAUGACGUCACGGAUCAAUCCAAGCUGUACUCUCAUCACCGAGACCGCGUACAGCGAAAGCGUCGGAAUUGCGUGCCCGGACUGAAAACGCUCAGAAAACACCUGCAGCUGAGGAGGUAUCAAAGGCGGUUGUAGACAGCAGGCCAACAACGGUUCGUCAAACACGAAGACAAAAUACCUUCAAUUUGAAGAAUGAAGAUACCCAAGACGACAUCCUUCAUCACGAGACUGUCAACACAACUACAGAAAACAGUCAAGGUGCCCAGGCCGUUCAUGAUGUGGUAACAACCGAGACGACUUCUGGUGUCGAGGACAACUACGACGAUGACUUUGAGG